CCCGUAGGUGAACCCGAGGCGGGGCUGGAACUCCUUCCAGCUCGGCGUCGUCCGCGCCAGCUUGUCGGCAUCGCUCGUCAGCCGCUGCGCAAGCGGGUCGUUCAGCUGCUUCAGAAUCUCCAUCGUCCGGUUGUUGGUCUGAUCGGGCAGGUUGCCGAUGUUGGCGUCCCACCGCAGGCCCAGGUUGAGCGUCAGCCGGUUACUCAGCCGCCAGUCGUCCUGGCCGUAGAACGCGACUUGAUGGAAGUUCUGGACGUGGCUGGCCUGACCGGCGGCGUAUUCGAUCUGGCGCACGGCGCCUGGCGUCUGGAACGCCUGGGGUAGAUCGCGCGGUUGUCGGCGACGGUCAGCGGAUCGUCGAACCAGCGGACGGUGUAGCCAGAAGCGCCGAAGUAGAAGUAGCCGCCCAUCUGCGUGUAGAUGUAGUUCGCGCCCGCCUUCAACGAGUGCUGCCCGCUCAGCUGCGAGAAGUCGUUGCGGAACUGAUACUUCCUGACAGUCGUCUGCUGCGGCGUGUUGGCGUUGGGGCCCGAGUCCACGGAGGGGAAGUCCAGGAAGGCCACGCCGGUGACGUUCGGCAGGAUCUGGUUGUUGAAGUCCUGGUAGUGAAACGAGCUCUGAUUCAGGCGGUUCGACCCGAUCGUGAGGUGGUGACCGGCCGCGAAGUCGUAGUUCCUGGUCGUGUUCGAGUUGCCGUUGUUCAGAUCCGAUGUCGCCGGUACCGGGAUCUGGUCGUUGGGCGACGACUGAUCCUGGUAGGCAAACCGCGCGAAUGCUCUGGCGCCGCCGCUCAUUUGCCAGUCUACCUUGGCGGUCAGCAGCGUGUCGUCGUACGGGGUUGGAAUCGUCGACAGCACCUCGGCGCUGGAAUCGCCUGCAGCUGGUUGAACGCCGUCUGGGUGACGACGUUGUUCGAGCGCUCGCGGAAUCGCUCGAGGGCGCCGAAGAAGAACACCUGGUUGCGCGCGAUCGGGCCGCCGAUCGAGCCGCCGAACUCCUGCCGCGUGAACGGCGCCUUGGUGAACGACGGGUCGGCGUCCUUUCGCUGCAGCUCGAAGAAGUCCAUCGCCCUCGUGUCCGAUCCCCGGUAGCUGCCGAACGUCGUUCCGCGCAGCUGGUUGGUGCCGGACUUGGUGAUGACGUUGACCACGCCGCCGACCGAGCGGCCGCUCUCGGCCGUCCAGCGGUGCUGCAGCACCUCGAACUCCUGGAUCGACUCGUAGGCGAAGUUCUGGAUCAGGCUGCCGACCACGUUGUCCUUGUUGUCGCCGCCGUCCACGUUGACGUCGAGCUGACGGCCGUCGCCGCCGCUCAUGGCGAAGUUGCCGAUGCGUGUCUUGGUCGGGU
Molecule: unclassified non-coding RNA, 1347 nt
Filed under: uncultured fungus
Lineage: Eukaryota; Fungi
Description: sequence contains 18S rRNA gene, ITS1, 5.8S rRNA gene, ITS2, 28S rRNA gene
Source: RNAcentral